UCCCUCAGUAAUGGCGAAUGAACAGGGACAUGCUCAGCAUGAAAAUCGGGGCCUGCGGGCCUGAGUUGUAGUCUCGGGAGAUACUGCCAACAGAGGCGCUGCUGUAUGUCUCUUGGAAAUGAGUAUCAAUGAGGGCGAGGGUCCUGUUUGUCAGUGGCAGCCCACUGUGCACGGUGUACAUUCUAAGAGUCACGUUCCUUGGGAUUGGAGUGCAAUGCGGGUGGUAAGCUUCAUCCAAAGCUACAUAUGGGCUCAAGACCGAUAGCAAACAAGUACCAUGAGGGAAAGGUGAAAAGGACUUUGAAAAGAAAGGUAACAGUGCCUGAAAUCGCUGAAAAGGAAGUGAGCGAAGCCAAUGUGUCUUGGUGAGAUUGCUGCACACAAGUGCCAUUGCUUGCUGCGCCAGCACACGUGUGGCAGUAAGUCUUGCGCAGGUUGCGUGCAGUGCUUUUUGCCUUGCCUGUCAACGUCGCUUCACGCUUGAGGAAGAUUUCAAGGACAUGGUAGCUCCCCCCAAGGGGCGAAUAUCUUCAGUGUACUCAUGCGAGGGGUGA
This 554-nucleotide ribosomal RNA is filed under the name Peridinium bipes f. globosum. RNAcentral's name for it is "LSU rRNA". It matches the Rfam family "Eukaryotic large subunit ribosomal RNA", at positions 76 to 634 of the family's 3401-position model. Lineage: Eukaryota; Dinophyceae; Peridiniales; Peridiniaceae. The record is from RNAcentral.